Molecule: ribosomal RNA, 468 nt
Filed under: uncultured bacterium
Lineage: Bacteria
Description: partial 16S ribosomal RNA
Rfam family: Bacterial small subunit ribosomal RNA
Source: RNAcentral
GAUGAACGCUGGCGGCGUGCUUAACACAUGCAAGUCGAACGGUGAAGGCGGAGCUUGCUCUGCUGGAUCAGUGGCGAACGGGUGAGUAACACGUGAGCAAUCUGCCCCUGACUCUGGGAUAAGCGCUGGAAACGGCGUCUAAUACUGGAUACGAGCUGCGAAGGCAUCUUCAGCAGCUGGAAAGAACUUCGGUCAGGGAUGAGCUCGCGGCCUAUCAGCUUGUUGGUGAGGUAACGGCUCACCAAGGCGUCGACGGGUAGCCGGCCUGAGAGGGUGACCGGCCACACUGGGACUGAGACACGGCCCAGACUCCUACGGGAGGCAGCAGUGGGGAAUAUUGCACAAUGGGCGAAAGCCUGAUGCAGCAACGCCGCGUGAGGGACGACGGCCUUCGGGUUGUAAACCUCUUUUAGCGGGGAAGAAGCGAAAGUGACGGUACCUGCAGAAAAAGCGCCGGCUAACUACGUG